This is a long non-coding RNA of Erinaceus europaeus (western European hedgehog), 876 nucleotides long. RefSeq lists it as uncharacterized. Lineage: Eukaryota; Metazoa; Chordata; Mammalia; Eulipotyphla; Erinaceidae. The transcript has 3 exons. The record is from RefSeq and is a predicted model, not a curated record.
GAACAUCUGUGAGGGGACAUCGUGUAGGUCUGAAAGCCCUGACAUUUAUGGAUCUUAACUUUACUAAGAACCUUUCCCGUUCCAUUAUAAGGAAGUUGCAGGCAGUUGUGCUGUCGAGCUCCUUGUUGUUAUUAUUGCCAAAAUCGAUGUGGGAGUAACACAUUUCCAGGGAGAGAAGAAUAUGAAGCUGAAGAUCAGCAUCCCAGGAGAAAAGAGGGGAAAACAUCCUAUCAGUAAAUAGAAGAAAAAGUCAGGGUAUAGAAGUGUUGUCCAUAAAAAGCUGCCAGAAAGACAGGGCCUCCUGAAAUGUUUGUGUGAGUCAUUAAGGAACUUGAUUACAAGGCUGAUACGGCGUGGAAUAGCUCUUUUUCAGGAAUCUUUAGAGUUCAGGUGAAGAUGAUUAUUAACUACAAUAUGAGAAGAGGAACCAUUAACAGGGAGAAAUAGAAAAAAUAAAUUGAGCUACUGAUAUCCACAAGAGAAAAGCAUUUGAUGCUCUUGGUGCUUAAGUGCUCCACCACAGAACUCCAGGCUAUGUUCCAAAGAAAGUCUAAGUUGUUCCGUAGCUGCAACUUUGAGAAGACUUCGUGACAAUGAUGUCCACUUCCCUGAAGAAUAUGCAUGUUUUCCUAUUGAAACCGUUGCACACACAAUUUCCUGAAAAUAUGUCACUUCGUCUCCUCCCAGUUCUCAUCACCAUUGUAAUCACCACCCCCACAGACCCCAGAGCUGAUGCUCACAUUUGCUUUUUGAGUUCUCAGAUGCUGCUGACUUUCUUCUAACCUCCUCCCUCCUCCAACCCCAGAGAGAAUUACUUAGAACAUAGGAAGAAUGAAUUCUACUCUUUCUCAAUCCAAGAUUCCACUUGUUCAACAA